Molecule: ribosomal RNA, 229 nt
Filed under: uncultured bacterium
Lineage: Bacteria
Description: partial 16S ribosomal RNA
Rfam family: Bacterial small subunit ribosomal RNA
Source: RNAcentral
CGUGUAGGCGGAUCGGGAAGUUGGGUGUGAAAGCCCUGGGCUCAACCCAGGAAGUGCGCCCGAAACCACCGGUCUUGAGUUUCGGAUGGGAGCGGGGAAUUCCCAGUGUAGAGGUGAAAUUCGUAGAUAUUGGGAGGAACACCGGUGCCGAAGGGGCCGCUCUGGACGAAUACUGACGCUAAGACGCGAAAGCGUGGGGAGCAAACAGGAUUAGAUACCCUGGUAGUCC